AUGUACAAGUUGUACAAGAGCGAGCUGGAGGCGAUCACGCCUGAGCAGGUGGAAUGGGAGCCGUAUGGAAAAGGAGAGAGUUUUGGUAACCCUAUAGAGUUCAGGCUUAAUCCGAUGUGCAUUAGGGAUAGGGAUCUCUGGCAUAUGCGGUGCCCACUGAUAUGCAACUGGGCGGUUGAGCUUCACCUGCCACAUCGGGUGUUCCGCCAGUUUGGUUUGUUCCAGCCACACCCGCCGGAGUGGGAGGACACGGACAAGUUGCUACACGCGUUGGAUAGGAAAAAGCAGCGGAAGAUCAAGGAUUGGGCCAGCCAUCACAGGAAGUAUGUCGUGCAGUUCGCUCUUAGUGUGGAGCAAGCAAGGGCUGGAAAACGAGCCCAGCUUCGUGAGCACUGCCCGAUCGCGUUCAACAACUAUCUCGCAUGGUUUCUUGCAAGUACCCGCGUGGAGGUAUGCCAGCCGGCGUAUGCUGAGGAGAUUCUGGAAGAACCCACCGUUUUUGAUGAGAUCAAGAAAGCAGCUGACGAGACCGAGACUAUUCUGGAAACAACCCCGGCUGGCAAAAGCGAUGGGGAAGGUGCACUUCGAGAAUUCAUUAAGCGCCAGGGCCAAAAGUUAAGGCGGCUAUCAAACCUUUUCGGUUGUCGUGACCCCGAGUAUGUAUCACCAGAACGGUCUAGGUCGGCGACACCAUCAGAUCCCGCUUCGGGGCAGAGCCAUGGUGAACCUUUCACGGAUGAGGAUGUGGGUGGGGUCACUCAAGAGGUUGCUGAUGAUAUGACCUUGGGGACGUACCGGGCUCGGUCUGCAUACGAGUUGAAGCCUAGGAGGGGAAUCAACAAGUACACACCUGAAGACUUCACCCAAAGAGGCAAAAGGACGGCCGGCACCUCGCGGAUGGCGGCUUUGGAUGACUAUUUGGAUGACGAUGUCGAACCGGAGGCGGAGCCGGAGCCGGAGCGGGUUCCUCUUCCUAGGAAGGUGAAGAAGAUAAGCGUCAAGAGGGGGGAGGACCCAGCAAGCGUGGAAAGCACUAGUCAUCUUAGUUUUUUUAUAAUGUUGAACUUUGAGUGCGAUUUGUUAUGUCGUUGA
This 1092-nucleotide ribosomal RNA is filed under the name Triticum aestivum (bread wheat). Its description in RNAcentral is "partial small subunit ribosomal RNA". Lineage: Eukaryota; Viridiplantae; Streptophyta; Magnoliopsida; Poales; Poaceae. The record is from RNAcentral.